Molecule: long non-coding RNA, 529 nt
Organism: Carassius auratus (goldfish)
Lineage: Eukaryota; Metazoa; Chordata; Actinopteri; Cypriniformes; Cyprinidae
Exons: 3
Source: RefSeq, a predicted model, not a curated record
UUUUUUGUCAGUAGGUUCUCAGUGAAGAACUUAAAUAGAGUAACUUUAAUAAGAGUAAAGUUAUAAUGUAUACACUCAAGCCAAUGUAGUAUUUUAUUUAAUUUGCAUAUUAUGUAAUGUGUAUCUUUGUUCCUAUUUUUUUAUUAACAAUGAUAAAAUAAUGGUUACGUUUUUUCCACUUUUACAUUCCACUUUUUACUUGAGGAGAAAGGAAAUUGUUGAGAUUGAGUCUCCAGUAAAAGAGACGCCAAAGAUGGCCAUCACUCUUCACAGAACGACAAAUCAAUGCAGAGUUUGUUCGCAUCACAAGCAAAAACCUCAAGCCAGAUUUUUUCACAGCACUUGAUCAACAUACAGCUCGAUUUCUGAACAUUUUUGAAACCAAAAAAGGGGCAGCUGGAAAAAGGCUUUCAGAGUUUCUUGAUCAAAUUAAGUUGAAGGGCACUGACAUCACUGCUAAUCACACAGCAGUUCUUCAUGGACUUCCUCUCCUUCUUGGACAAGAAACCUCUGACUUUUUCAAAGCAAC